This 496-nucleotide ribosomal RNA is filed under the name uncultured bacterium. RNAcentral describes it as "partial 16S ribosomal RNA". It matches the Rfam family "Bacterial small subunit ribosomal RNA", at positions 28 to 506 of the family's 1533-position model. The record is from RNAcentral.
GAUGAACGCUGGCGGCGUGCCUAAUACAUGCAAGUCGAGCGAACAGACGAGGAGCUUGCUCCUCUGACGUUAGCGGCGGACGGGUGAGUAACACGUGGAUAACCUACCUAUAAGACUGGGAUAACUUCGGGAAACCGGAGCUAAUACCGGAUAAUAUAUUGAACCGCAUGGUUCAAUAGUGAAAGAAGGUUUUGCUGUCACUUAUAGAUGGAUCCGCGCCGCAUUAGCUAGUUGGUAGGGUAACGGCUUACCAAGGCGACGAUGCGUAGCCGACCUGAGAGGGUGAUCGGCCACACUGGAACUGAGACACGGUCCAGACUCCUACGGGAGGCAGCAGUAGGGAAUCUUCCGCAAUGGGCGAAAGCCUGACGGAGCAACGCCGCGUGAGUGAUGAAGGUCUUCGGAUCGUAAAACUCUGUUAUUAGGGAAGAACAAAUGUGUAAGUAACUAUGCACGUCUUGACGGAACCUAAUCAGAAAGCCACGGCUAACUACGU